CAUGAGAAUGUGGGUUUGAUCCCUGGCCCUGCUCUGUGGGUUAAGGAUCUGGUGUUGCAGUGGCUGCAGUGCAGGUCACAGAUGCAGCUUGGAUGUGGCAUAGGCCGGAAGCUCUUAUUCGACCCUUAGCCUGGGAACUUCCAUUUCCUACAGGUAUGGAAGAAAAAAAAAACAAAGCUUAUUAUGUCCACGUACUAUGUCAUGCCCUUGACAAUUUUAGGCUUGCUGUGGGUAAGUUGCCCAGUUUACACAGUAGGCUUUUACUUUAAGCCUAGCAUUUUAAAGGCCCCCCUCCCAUUCUCUGGCAAACUUUGCUUGGUGGAAAUCUGGGCAAAGGAAUGUGCCAGUCUGGAGACUCUACCCCUUCUAGACCAUACUCCUGGCACUGUGGAAUUUAGAAUUCCCUUUCCCACAUGAUCCUUAUCGUGUUGCUUCACCAUCAGUCUACAAAGUAGACUACGCAUCCAGGGUGUGCAGCCAUAAGCCUUGAGUGGUGGCUGAGAGUAGAUAAAUACUGGCUGAUUUAGGAGAUGGGCUGAUGAAAUAGAGCUUGGAUGUAUGGGCUAGGAUGUCCAUGCUACCUCCUCUGGGCCUUUCCUGCUAUAAGGAUAGAAUAAGGUGUGGGAAGAACUGUAGGGCAGGUCAUGAGUCAAGGGCCUAAUUUUUUACUCUUGUGCCAAAUGCCAAAAAAUAAAGGCAAUUCUAAUUUGAGUUAGAAUUUAUCCCAGAAAAUUGGAAACCAGCACUCCCACUCUUAAUCUAGUAUGCCACUAUAUUUUUUUGGAUAUAUUCACAAUGAGUUAUAACUCACUUUGUGUUCAUUUUGGAAGCAUCAAUCACAUUCUAACAGUGAUAUCAAACAAACAUCAUAAAGCAUAAUGUCCAGAAAGUUUUAGUAGAAUUGCAGGGGACGUACGAAGUCAUAAACAUAGUUAUAUAGUAAAUGAAAGAAUAUUCUGUAGUUUAUAAUGGUCUUGGUUGUACCAAAUGGGAAUUCAGAUUUUUCUAGGUGAACCCGGUCUAAUAAUAGGCUUGGUAGAUUUAUACUCAGCAACUAGCAUUAUGUGUAUGCAUGUGUUUCAGGUGAUUAAAAAGAAAGAAUUAUGACUGCUUGGGAAGAAGAUUAAAAUAAUAUGUAUGAUGAACCAGAGGUGAUGGCAUGGUGAAUUCUAGCCAGCCCUAGGAACAAUAGACAAGUAUUUGUUGCUAUUAGGAAGAGACCUUUAAUAGUUGUACCUUUUACAGAUAGAAUUUAGCAGAUUAUUGAAGUCUUAUCAAAAUAAUCCCAAGUGACAUCAAUGAAAAGCAUCAGUUGAAAGCCCAGAGAAUAUUUUUUAAAAUGCAUAUUUACUACUACUGCUACUACUACUACUUCUAUUUCAAAUACUACUACCAUUUUGAAAUUCCACUGGUUCAAAAUGCAGAAGGAAGUUAUUCUUCCGGAGAACUAACACCAAUGGACAUGGCAAACUACAACUGGAAGAUGGAAACAUCUAGGAAAAGAGGAUGGUGGACAAUACGAGCAUGAUGGAGGGCAGGGGCAUCCAGAUAUAGGACUUGUGCAAGAAAACAUAUGCCGUAUUCUAAUGCUGCUGCAGGAUAUUUGGAGUGAAAACUUUCAAUGUGUGUGAUCCUCUGCUUUAUAAAUAGAACCUCAAAAGCUAGUAGAGUUGCUUAUGUGACUUUAUCACUCACAUGAGAUUUCUUUUCACAAACGAGGGGCUAAAUCUAUUCCAUAUGUGGUUGUAAAAUACAAGGUUGGUACCAAAUAAUGUAUAGUAUUAAAAGGCUUUGGCAAAAGUGAUUUAAUUAUUAGAGCUGUUUCAAGAAGGUCAUUAAUAGAAAGUAAAUCAAGUAGAAGCAAGUAAACCACUUGGCAGGGAUUUUAUAAAGAGGAUACAAAUGAAAACAGAAUGAAUACUAAUACCUUUUAUAAAAAGCUUCAAUUUUAGCAGGAAGUUUUAAAUUCAAUGCUCUUAACACAUUCAAAUAGAAUGAAGAGAAGGUAAACACAGGAUAGAUACUGAAGAUUUAAGCAAAUUCCAGCAGAAAUCAAUUCAAUUUGAUGAUACUUUGUUACAGUGUUUAUUUUAAAAUAUUUGAUGAAAUGUUAGCUCCCUCAAAAACAUCAAUAAAAGAUAUACUGCAGUAUAUCUGAUACAUUUUAUUUCUUAUUUGGAAGAACACCAAUGUCUCAUAGUAUCUUUCUUAAAUCCCCAAUAACAGUCAUUCAAGAUGGUAAAAAACAGUAUAUCCCUAUAGCAAACAAACAAGCCCCUGACACGUGUCCAAAUAUACCAAGUGGAAAAUAGUUGAAAUUUCUUUAGGAAACAAAGUGUUUUCUAUAGAGGGUGAUGGAAAAUGGUGGUAAAUGAAUGUGCACAUUAUAUGUGCUUGAGGGCUAAUAUUUGAAGAGGUAGCAGACCAUUUAAUUAGGGAUUUUAUUAGUCAGAACAAAUCCAUCUAAUAGCAAGGUUGUUCUUAUCAGUACCUAGUUGCUUUCUCUGAUUCAGUCUCUUAGGAGUCUGCAUGAACAUUUACCUGUGUUUAUACGGCCUGUAUAGGUGUGAAUAUGUGUGUAUGUACAGGAUGGGGUGAAGUAAGAGGAAGUAUGUUUCCACUUUCUGUGUUUAGGGAUUCUUUCUGGUGUCUGGAGAAUCUAUUAAAGUCGAAGUAUCUCUUUUUUUCUGGAAUAAUAAAAACUGUUUGGAAUGAAAUAUUUUUCAUCUGCUGAGAGUGAGAGCUCGCCUCUCUCUGUAUAGAUUAUAAAUCAGCUUCUUUAUAUCUGAUAUUGUCCUUAACCCAUUGCCUUUACCUUUCCCAUAAGAGAGAGUAAAAUUAAAAUGCAUAAUUAUUUCCGUAACCAAAUUUUGGCUCUAAUAUCAAAGUCUUGCCAUUCAAAGAAGUGUAUAGAAAUUACUAUGUCCUUUUCAUAAUCCAAAUGGCAUUAGAAAAAAAUAAGACUUUUUCCUAAGUAAAAUUACAGUCAAUUUUAUUCCAAGCUUUCAUAGAAAGCUUUGCAUGUGUGAGUCAGAUCCUCAGAGCAAAUCUCAUUUACAAUUCAUGACAUCUUUUCAUCCAAUUAUUUAGUUUCAUUUCCUUUGCAUUUUAUUUCUUCUAACUUUUAGAUUCACAUUUAUUUAGCCCAAAUUGCUAUAAUCUUUUUCUCCCCUUGCCAAAAAUCCUCUAUGUACCUGAGAAGACUUUAUUUUUUCUUUUGUGAGUUUGUUAAACUCAGAUAUGGCUCUAAAUCAUUUAGGCUACCAAGGAGGGAAUGUGGCAAAAAUUUUAUAAAAGUAACAUAUUUGUAUUACAUCAUAGGUAUGCUGGUUAAUUCUUACAACUGUUCCUUUCAAACUGUUACAUCAAUAAUUUCACAACUUUUACAGUCCUAUUUUAUUUCAUAUAAACGUGUGGAAAGUGAUUCUAAUUUUUUAUUCUUUUGGUGUUAGGCAUUACAUACCCUUCUUAUAUUGGGCCAUUUAUUUUGAAUGACUACACACAUUCCUAUUCUCAAUUUUGAGUAGCAAGGGAAGUUGUAAUACUGUUAGAUUUUUAAUAUUCUCUUUUUACAAGCAUAUAUUUUAAAAGGAUUUUGAGCCAUAUGUAUGCUUAGGAAACUCAAAUCACUACUUGUCUCUUAGAUCAUAAAUAAACUCUGCUUAUUCUACUUACCCAACCCUCCUUCCCAACAUUCCAACAGUUUCAAUCAGAGCAACACUUCACAUCCCAUGCAUACAUAGCUUAUCUCUCCUUCCCUGGAGAAUUGUGUGAUUCCCUUUUGUUUGUUUCCUAAAUUGCGAAUUCCAGUAUGCAAACUUCUUACCACAACCUCCUCUUCUUCCAAGUUUCUUGUUCAACCAUCGCACCAGGGCCAAUCUUUGAUGUAGAAAAGCUAUUCUUUCUAAUGACCCAUCUGGUUCGUUGUUAGGCUUGUCAUGUAUUCAUUCCCUUCUUUAUACAGCUGAAAUUUAUUAUUCACCUUAUCAAUAACACUUAUUAAUACUUUAAUUUUAUUUCCCUUUGUACACUCACUGGCAAAAACCCUGCUAUCAUUUUCCUGGGCUCUUGCCUUUGAACUGCCAAGCCUGGCUGGAGAACCUUUGCAAAGUGGCAGAUCUAGAGCACUAUAAAUUCACCAUUUCCACUUCAGAGUCUCUAUCCUCUCAAUCUUUUUGCUUCCUAUAAAUUUAUUUCUAAUUCUUUUGAAGAUUGUAAGCUUCAGUGCUGUUCUCCCCUCCAAUUCCCCUUCAUCCUCUUACCCUUUGAAAACAAACUGUUUUCUUCUCAAAGUAAGUAGAAAAUACCACUCUGGAUAUUUCUCAUCUUUAAUUUCCAGAUCUCUGGACUUGCUGGCAUGGCGUUCCUUAUGUAAUAAUGAACUGUCUCAUUGACAUCCCCACAUGGAUGUUUUACAGACGUUUCACAGUCAGUGUGUUCAAGAUUAGUCUCUUAAUCAAAUGCCUCUCCCUUUACCCAUUCUCCUUCUAGCAUUCCCCAUCUUAGAGGAAAAGAACAGCCUCUUUCCAGUUGAGUGCUCAGUUCUUAAACUUGGGAAUCAUCUUUGACUUAUUCUUCUUGACUCAAUUUUCAAUUUAUAACCAAGUCUUGUAGAUUUAAGUACUUAGUGUAUCUUUUAAUACUAUCCUUCCUGUAUAUUACAUAUUUUAUAAAUGCAGAAUAUAUAGGAAUACCUUUUCCUUUUGUAUCACAAAACAGUCAUUGUCCCUAUAUGAUUGUUAACUAUAUUUUUUUUUCUCUGAGUUGUUUUUCUAAUAGAUUAUUUUCCUAAAUUAUUUAUUACAAUUUUCCUGAGCCAUCUAAAGAUCUAUAUUUGAACAUAUAUACACUACUAUGUAUAACACAGAUAAUCAACAAGGACUUACUGUAUAGCACAGGGAAGUCUCUUCAGUAUUCUGUAUUAACCUAUAUGGGAAAACAUCUGAAAAGGAGUGGAUAAAAGAAUACGUAUAACUGAAUCACUUUGCUGUACCCCUGAAACUAACACAGUAUUGUAAAUAAAUUAUACU
RNAcentral lists this long non-coding RNA (5030 nucleotides) under Sus scrofa (pig). Its description in RNAcentral is "lncRNA (ENSSSCG00000059811.1)". The record is from RNAcentral. Lineage: Eukaryota; Metazoa; Chordata; Mammalia; Artiodactyla; Suidae.